AGGGGGAACAACCAUAGUGGCAGCAGCCAGCUCUGGAGCCCUGUAGUCAGCUCCCACAGUAACUACAGAGCUCUCCAUCUGCAGGGCCCGGAUGCUCCAGGGACGG
Molecule: microRNA precursor, 106 nt
Filed under: Canis lupus familiaris (dog)
Lineage: Eukaryota; Metazoa; Chordata; Mammalia; Carnivora; Canidae
Also listed under: 1 other name
Description: mir-8834 microRNA precursor family
Rfam family: mir-8834 microRNA precursor family
Source: Rfam by way of RNAcentral